Molecule: ribosomal RNA, 465 nt
Filed under: uncultured bacterium
Lineage: Bacteria
Description: partial 16S ribosomal RNA
Rfam family: Bacterial small subunit ribosomal RNA
Source: RNAcentral
GACGAACGCUGGCGGCGUGCUUAACACAUGCAAGUCGAACGGAAAGGCCCCCUUGUGGGGUACUCGAGUGGCGAACGGGUGAGUAACACGUGAGUAACCUACCCUUUACUUUGGGAUAACUUCAGGAAACUGGGGCUAAUACCGGAUAGGAGCUCCUGCUGCAUGGUGGGGGUUGGAAAGUUUCGGCGGUUGGGGAUGGACUCGCGGCUUAUCAGCUUGUUGGUGGGGUAGUGGCUCACCAAGGCUUUGACGGGUAGCCGGCCUGAGAGGGUGACCGGCCACAUUGGGACUGAGAUACGGCCCAGACUCCUACGGGAGGCAGCAGUGGGGAAUAUUGCACAAUGGGCGGAAGCCUGAUGCAGAAACGCCGCGUGCGGGAUGACGGCCUUCGGGUUGUAAACCGCUUUCGCCUGUGACGAAGCGUGAGUGACGGUAAUGGGUAAAGAAGCACCGGCUAACUACGUG